GCAGAUCCUCCGUGCGGCAUUAACGUGCUGAACCCCCCAGGGCAGGAAUGCAGCAAGGGUAGGCCCGCUCUAAUGGGUGUGCGGGGGAUCCUAAAU
Molecule: signal recognition particle RNA, 96 nt
Filed under: Actinomycetota bacterium
Lineage: Bacteria; Bacillati; Actinomycetota
Description: Actinobacteria bacterium signal recognition particle sRNA small type
Rfam family: Bacterial small signal recognition particle RNA
About the family: The signal recognition particle (SRP) is a universally conserved ribonucleoprotein involved in the co-translational targeting of proteins to membranes. Archaeal SRP consists of a 7S RNA and homologues of the eukaryotic SRP19 and SRP54 proteins. In most bacteria, the SRP consists of a 4.5S RNA and the Ffh protein (a homologue of the eukaryotic SRP54 protein).
Source: RNAcentral